GCGAGUGAGCGGCAAAAGCUCAAAUUUGAAAUCUGGCCUCCUUCGGGGGUCCGAGUUGUAAUUUGAAGAAGCGACUCUGGUACCGGCCCUUGUCUAUGUUCCUUGGAACAGGACGUCACAGAGGGUGAGAAUCCCGUGCGAUGAGGGUGCCGGGUGCCAUGUAAAGCGUUUUCGACGAGUCGAGUUGUUUGGGAAUGCAGCUCUAAGUGGGUGGUAAAUUCCAUCUAAAGCUAAAUAUUGGCGAGAGACCGAUAGCGAACAAGUACAGUGAUGGAAAGAUGAAAAGAACUUUGAAAAGAGAGUGAAAAAGUACGUGAAAUUGUUGAAAGGGAAGGGCUUGAGAUCAGACAUUGUAUUUCCAUGGCGCUCUUUCGGGGGUGUCCUCUGGGUUUACAGGGCCAGCAUGGGUUCUGCGGGCAAGACGAGGGCCUUGGGAAUGUGCCUCCGCUGCGGUGGAGAGUUAUAGCCUGAGGAUUCCGGUUGCCACGCGGGACUGAGGAUUGCGAAUUUCUAGGAUGCUGGCAUAAUGAUCUUAAGCCGCCCGUCU
RNAcentral lists this unclassified non-coding RNA (547 nucleotides) under unidentified. RNAcentral's name for it is "sequence contains 28S rRNA gene". It matches the Rfam family "Eukaryotic large subunit ribosomal RNA", at positions 89 to 654 of the family's 3401-position model. The record is from RNAcentral.